UACGGAGGGGACUAGCGUUGUUCGGAAUUACUGGGCGUAAAGCGCACGUAGGCGGAUUUGUAAGUCAGGGGUGAAAUCCCGGGGCUCAACCUCGGAACUGCCUUUGAUACUGCAAAUCUCGAGUCCGGAAGAGGUGAGUGGAAUUCCUAGUGUAGAGGUGAAAUUCGUAGAUAUUAGGAAGAACACCAGUGGCGAAGGCGGCUCACUGGCCGGUACUGACGCUGAGGUGGCGAAAGCGUGGGGAGCAACAGG
Molecule: ribosomal RNA, 252 nt
Filed under: uncultured bacterium
Lineage: Bacteria
Description: partial 16S ribosomal RNA
Rfam family: Bacterial small subunit ribosomal RNA
Source: RNAcentral